RNAcentral lists this small RNA (653 nucleotides) under Pongo abelii (Sumatran orangutan). RNAcentral describes it as "processed transcript". The record is from RNAcentral. Lineage: Eukaryota; Metazoa; Chordata; Mammalia; Primates; Hominidae.
ACUUCCGUCCAGACCGGAACCCAAGAUGGCUGCGCUCUUGCUGAGGUGACUUUAGUGUGGGACUGGGAGUUGGUGUCCGCGGCCCUACGGAGAUCUGAACUGGCCCCUCACGUUUUGCUGAUAACUGUUUAUCCUGUGCCUAGGCAGAGAAAGGACCCAUGGGUGUGGAGGCCAAGCGCUGGGGGAUCCUAGAGACCCCUUUUCCUGUCCCCCCCAGCCGCCCCGGUGCGCUCCGUAGGGCUUCGGGGUCACUGACUUCGUAUCGAGGGGCGCUCGGCUCUCGCCCCUUCUGUUUUCCCCACCUCCUCUAGUACUUCUAACGCAAAUUGCUCUCGGGCCUGCACCCAGAGCCGAGCUCUGAGAAAAUAACUUCAAGGUCAGCCACCCAUGGGUCCUACGAUUUCGAGAGCGUAUUUAGACAUUUAGCUUGGGAGAGAGAGAUCUUGGUGUAUUUUGCCUUUGCUUCGAAUGCCUUCAAACACUAACUGCUCCCGCCACACGUUAGUCGUCAUUGCCUCCGAGCCCACUUUAGCCCUCAGCUCUGUAUCAGAAAUGCUGUUCCUUUGGGAACCACAGCCAAAGAAGAGAUGGAGCGGUUCUGGAAUAAGAAUAUAGGUUCAAACCGUCCUCUGUCUCCCCACAUCACUAUCUAC